UGGGAACGUACCUCUUGGUUCGGAACAACACAGGGAAACUUGUGCUAAUACCGGAUAAGCCCUUACGGGGAAAGAUUUAUCGCCGAGAGAUCGGCCCGCGUCUGAUUAGUUAGUUGGUGAGGUAACGGCUCACCAAGGCGACGAUCAGUAGCUGGUCUGAGAGGAUGAUCAGCCACACUGGGACUGAGACACGGCCCAGACUCCUACGGGAGGCAG
RNAcentral lists this ribosomal RNA (216 nucleotides) under uncultured bacterium. Its description in RNAcentral is "partial 16S ribosomal RNA". It matches the Rfam family "Bacterial small subunit ribosomal RNA", at positions 118 to 351 of the family's 1533-position model. The record is from RNAcentral.